UGACUCAGUGGUAGAGUGCUUGCCUUGCAAGCAUGAGGCCCUGGGUUCGAUUCCUCAG
Molecule: transfer RNA, 58 nt
Filed under: Dipodomys ordii (Ord's kangaroo rat)
Lineage: Eukaryota; Metazoa; Chordata; Mammalia; Rodentia; Heteromyidae
Rfam family: tRNA
About the family: Transfer RNA (tRNA) molecules are approximately 80 nucleotides in length. Their secondary structure includes four short double-helical elements and three loops (D, anti-codon, and T loops).
Source: Rfam by way of RNAcentral